UUCAUUCACAAUAUUUUGAAUUGACUUUCCAUCUGAUAACUGCUUUCGACUAUCCUGAUUACAAUACUUUAUAUCCAGUUAUAUCAUACUGCAAUCAAAUAGUCACAUAAAUUGCGUCUAAGUUCAUAAAUUUCUAUGCGUGUUGUGUGUUAUAAUUGACAACAAGUGUUAGAGAUAUUAUAUUUUACAAUUGGCACGAGGCAUGUAUUAUGAAAUUUCCUGUAGGCUGAAUAGCAUGAGAACAAUCAGAAAAAUGUAAUUGUUGCUGAAAGGUUUUGUUGCACACACGGAAAAUAUGAAUACGCUUAAUAAUUUCCGUUAGCAUAAUCAGCUCACGAUUAGCUUCAUCACUGAUUAAACCAUAAUCAAAUGCAGUAAUCUAACCUGGGUUCAUAGCAUAGUAAAAGUCUCGCCACUCAUCCAUCCAGACUUCUGCUACCCUUGCAGCAUUAUGCAGAACGAUCUUGCUGACUCCACCAGGAAAUGUGUAGGGACUCUUGUCACGGAACACGUGUCCCACGUGCGAACAAGGAAUGAUUUCUAGUAUACCGCCGCACUGCCACACCUACAAGGAACUCGCACUCUUACAGAUAGCAAAACGAUUCUUGGCUCCCUUGGUUGGUUAUUUUGACAACUAAUCACUUCGGCAUGAUGACUUCAAGUAAAGACAGAUCUCAUUGUAAGAGGGACAACAUGAAUUGCAACUUUGAAUACAAGAUUUUCCAAUAAAAUUAAGAGCUGGGAUGUCUGAAUAAUUAUGACAAAAGAUGCUUGAUACACUGGUAAUCGAUGGGGGGUAAAACUUUGUAUCAGCUACUUGGCACUUGAUAAUAGUAGAAUUCAAUGGUUGAAUA
Long non-coding RNA from Athalia rosae (coleseed sawfly), 854 nucleotides. RefSeq lists it as uncharacterized. The record is from RefSeq and is a predicted model, not a curated record. Lineage: Eukaryota; Metazoa; Arthropoda; Insecta; Hymenoptera; Athaliidae. The transcript is spliced from 2 exons.